RNAcentral lists this ribosomal RNA (631 nucleotides) under uncultured bacterium. RNAcentral describes it as "bacterial SSU rRNA". It matches the Rfam family "Bacterial small subunit ribosomal RNA", at positions 232 to 873 of the family's 1533-position model. The record is from RNAcentral.
CGCGGCCUAUCAGCUUGUUGGUGGGGUGAUGGCCUACCAAGGCAGUGACGGGUAGCCGGCCUGAGAGGGCGACCGGCCACACUGGGACUGAGACACGGCCCAGACUCCUACGGGAGGCAGCAGUGGGGAAUAUUGCGCAAUGGGCGGAAGCCUGACGCAGCGACGCCGCGUGAGGGAUGACGGUCUUCGGAUUGUAAACCUCUUUCACCCACGACGAAGCGAAAGUGACGGUAGUGGGAGAAGAAGCACCGGCCAACUACGUGCCAGCAGCCGCGGUAAUACGUAGGGUGCAAGCGUUGUCCGGAAUUAUUGGGCGUAAAGAGCUCGUAGGCGGCUUGUCACGUCGACUGUGAAAACCCGGGGCUCAACUCCGGGCCUGCAGUCGAUACGGGCUGGCUUGAGUGCGGUAGGGGAGACUGGAAUUCCUGGUGUAGUGGUGAAAUGCGCAGAUAUCGGGAGGAACACCGGUGGCGAAGGCGGGUCUCUGGGCCGCAACUGACGCUGAGGAGCGAAAGCGUGGGGAGCGAACAGGAUUAGAUACCCUGGUAGUCCACGCCGUAAACGUUGGGCGCUAGGUGUGGGGACCUAUCCACGGUCUCCGUGCCGCAGCUAACGCAUUAAGCGCCCCGCC